CUACGGGAGGCACCAGUGGGGAGUAUUGGACAAUGGGGGAAACCCUGAUCCAGCAAUGCCGCGUGUGUGAAGAAGGCCUGCGGGUUGUAAAGCACUUUCGGUUGGGAGGACUGCUUCUAGCACUAAUAUUGUUGGAAGUUGACGUUACCUUCAGAAGAAGCACCGGCUAACUCCGUGCCAGCAGCCGCGGUAAUACGGAGGGUGCAUGCGUUAAUCGGAAUUACUGGGCGUAAAGCGCGCGUAGGCGGCUAGAUCAGUCGGGUGUGAAAGCCCCGGGCUUAACCUGGGAACUGCAUCCGAUACUGUCUAGCUUGAGUACAGGAGAGGAGAGUGGAAUUCCACAUGUAGCGGUGAAAUGCGUAGAUAUGUGGAGGAACACCAAUGGCGAAGGCAGCUCUCUGGCCUGAUACUGACGCUGAGGUGCGAAAGCGUGGGGAGCAAACAGGAUUAGAUACCCCCGUAGUC
RNAcentral lists this ribosomal RNA (465 nucleotides) under uncultured bacterium. RNAcentral's name for it is "partial 16S ribosomal RNA". It matches the Rfam family "Bacterial small subunit ribosomal RNA", at positions 339 to 795 of the family's 1533-position model. The record is from RNAcentral.